Molecule: ribosomal RNA, 263 nt
Filed under: uncultured bacterium
Lineage: Bacteria
Description: partial 16S ribosomal RNA
Rfam family: Bacterial small subunit ribosomal RNA
Source: RNAcentral
GUCCUUGCCGUAAACGAUGUAUACUUGAUGUAGUUGGGCUCAACCCUGACUGUGUCGAAGCUAACGCGAUAAGUAUACCGCCUGGGGAGUACGCUCGCAAGGGUGAAACUCAAAAGAAUUGACGGGGGCCCGCACAAGCAGUGGAGCAUGUGGUUUAAUUCGAUGCAACGCGAAGAACCUUACCCAGGCUCGAAAUGUAAUGGAAGUAAUCAGAGAUGGUUACGUCCGCAAGGACUGUUAUAUAGGUGCUGCAUGGCUGUCGU